CUACUUACCUAGCAGGAGAGAAACAAAGAUCCUGAAGGUGGUUUUCCCCAGGGUAAGGCCUAUCCAUUCCACUCUGGAUGUGCAAUUUCUCCAAGCAUGGGAAAAUCUCCUGCCUAAUUUGUGGUAGUGGGAGACUAUAUUUGUGUUCUCCCA
Molecule: small nuclear RNA, 153 nt
Organism: Dasypus novemcinctus (nine-banded armadillo)
Lineage: Eukaryota; Metazoa; Chordata; Mammalia; Cingulata; Dasypodidae
Gene: U1
Rfam family: U1 spliceosomal RNA
About the family: U1 is a small nuclear RNA (snRNA) component of the spliceosome (involved in pre-mRNA splicing).
Source: Ensembl